GAUCCUGGCUCAGGACGAACGCUGGCGGCGUGCCUAACACAUGCAAGUCGAACGGAGUCGGCCCCGCAAGGGACUGACUUAGUGGCGAACGGGUGAGUAACGCGUGAGCAACCUGCCUUUCAGUGGGGGACAACAGUUGGAAACGACUGCUAAUACCGCAUAAAGCAUUUUGACCGCAUGAUCGAGAUGCCAAAGAUUUAUUGCUGAAAGAUGGGCUCGCGUCUGAUUAGAUAGUUGG
Molecule: ribosomal RNA, 238 nt
Filed under: uncultured bacterium
Lineage: Bacteria
Description: partial 16S ribosomal RNA
Rfam family: Bacterial small subunit ribosomal RNA
Source: RNAcentral